AUGAACGCUGGCGGCGUGUCUAAGGCAUGCAAGUUGAACGCCCCGACGCAAGUCGGGGAGUGGCAAACGGGAGAGUAACACAUUGAUAACUUACCCCGAGGUCGUGAAUAAUCCUGCGAAAGCGGGCCUAAUACGCGAUGAAAGUGGGGGGCCAAAAGGCAUUCCCACUUAAAGCUCCGGCGCCUCGGGAGAGGUCUAUGGCCUAUCAGCUUGUUGGUGAGGUAAAAGCUCACCAAGGCUACGACGGGUAGCGGUUCUGAGAGGAUGAUCCGCCACACUGGUACUGAGACACGGACCAGACUCCUACGGGAGGCAGCAGUGAGGAAUAUUGCACAAUGGGGGGAACCCUGAUGCAGCAACGCCGCGUGGAGGAUGACGCAUUUCGGUGUGUAAACUCCUUUUAUAUGUCAAGAAAAUGACGGUAGCAUAUGAAUAAGCACCGGCUAACUCCGU
Molecule: ribosomal RNA, 453 nt
Filed under: uncultured bacterium
Lineage: Bacteria
Description: bacterial SSU rRNA
Rfam family: Bacterial small subunit ribosomal RNA
Source: RNAcentral